Molecule: ribosomal RNA, 429 nt
Filed under: Pseudomonadota bacterium
Lineage: Bacteria; Pseudomonadati; Pseudomonadota
Description: Proteobacteria bacterium partial 16S ribosomal RNA
Rfam family: Bacterial small subunit ribosomal RNA
Source: RNAcentral
UGUGGAAUAUUGGACAAUGGGCGAAAGCCUGAUCCAGCCAUGCCGCGUGUGUGAAGAAGGUCUUCGGAUUGUAAAGCACUUUAAGUUGGGAGGAAGGGCAGUAAGCGAAUACCUUGCUGUUUUGACGUUACCGACAGAAUAAGCACCGGCUAACUCUGUGCCAGCAGCCGCGGUAAUACAGAGGGUGCAAGCGUUAAUCGGAAUUACUGGGCGUAAAGCGCGCGGAGGUGGUUCGUUAAGUUGAAUGUGAAAGCCCCGGGCUCAACCUGGGAACUGCAUCCAAAACUGGCGAGCUAGAGUAGGGCAGAGGGUGGUGGAAUUUCCUGUGUAGCGGUGAAAUGCGUGGAUAUAGGAAGGAACACCAGUGGCGAAGGCGACCACCUGGGCUCAUACUGACACUGAGGUGCGAAAGCGUGGGGAGCAAACAGG